This 254-nucleotide long non-coding RNA is filed under the name Sorghum bicolor (sorghum). Its description in RNAcentral is "long non-coding RNA (SBIC_LNC000750)". The record is from RNAcentral. Lineage: Eukaryota; Viridiplantae; Streptophyta; Magnoliopsida; Poales; Poaceae.
UCCAUAUUCUCUGAUAACCCCCUGCAGAAAUAGAUAAACACCAAAGGUCGUGGAAUUCUGUCAGAUAAAACCCUAAUUCUAGAUGUUUGGUGCAUAUUGAUCCUUUUCCAUGUUUAUUUGAUUAUUAAUUUUAGUACUUAUGGACCGUCAACAGUCAUCCCCAGCAGCAACGCUAAAAGCACAUGGAGGUGGUAUUGGAUAACUGAACUCUUGAAAUAAUGAUAUAUACUAUAGAAGGUAAUCCGCAAGCGCAC